UGAUCAGCGAUGCCGCGUGGGUGAAGAAGGCCUUCGGGUUGUAAAGCCCUUUUGUCCGGGACGAAGUCGUACGGGUGAAUAUGCCGUGCUGAUGACGGUACCGAAAGAAUAAGCACCGGCUAACUUCGUGCCAGCAGCCGCGGUAAUACGAAGGGUGCAAGCGUUACUCGGAAUUACUGGGCGUAAAGGGUGCGUAGGCGGUUUGUUAAGUCCGCUGUGAAAGCCCUGGGCUCAACCUGGGAAUUGCAGUGGAUACUGGCUAGCUAGAGUGCGGUAGAGGAUGGUGGAAUUCCCGGUGUAGCGGUGAAAUGCGUAGAAUAUCGGGAGGAACACCCGUGGCGAAGGCGGCUAUCUGAGCAGCACUGACGCUGAGCACCGA
This 379-nucleotide ribosomal RNA is filed under the name uncultured bacterium. Its description in RNAcentral is "bacterial SSU rRNA". It matches the Rfam family "Bacterial small subunit ribosomal RNA", at positions 384 to 757 of the family's 1533-position model. The record is from RNAcentral.